CAACAACAGAUGUUUGCUAAUUCUGAGAGGUUUGUUUUAGAUGCAACAAUCAGAGAUCAGAAUCAACAUUUGUUUUUUGUUUUUUUUAGCUCUGACCAAGUCAAUAUACAGACAAUGUUAUGUUUCCCCUUCAUUCAUUAAAGCUACAUUCCUCCUAUGUAUGCUUCCUAAAUUCAACGACCAAAACGCAAGUACGUUUAUGAUAUAUAUACUUUUAAUAAGUAAAAUCAGAUCAAGGUUAGUGUAAUGCACUUUCAUGCAUAAACUGGGCUUAACAUAGUCAUUGCUUCAUUUCUGUUGGAUUCCAGACAUCUGUCUCUAUCAAAGGAUCUGCAGCAUAUAUUCCCCCCCCCUCUUUUAUAUGUUACAGUCCUAAGAGAAAAAAAAAAAAUCACUCAAAAUCGAAUCUCAGAAUCAUCCUGUGAUCAUUCCUAAUAAACAAUUGGAAAUAUUUCUCACUUUCAGUCGUUAAUAGGCAACAUUUUUGAACUAUGCGGUGGCGUUUAAUCCACCACCUUUCACAAGUGAACACAGGCUCCCACUGCGGACCUCCCUCGUAAAUUGUUACACAGGCCUGAGUGGAGAGUCACUUUCCUGUCGAGCUUCACAUCAGGAAGUCAGUUUUGACAGGUCUGAAUAAAAAAAAAAGAGUCAGGAAUCACAGGAGAAAGGCAUUUUAUGAAUCCAGUACGUUCUCCAGUAUCGCAUGAAACAAGCGAGGCAUAGAAGGCGAUGCUGUUUGCUCGUACGGAGCAGUUUGCAGCCUUUUCAUAGACAUCCCAGAUUAGACAUCAGAGGGAUUUUCCACAGAAGAUAAAUCUGAUUUUAAGUCUGUGCUCUUAAUCCAGACUCCAUGGUCACGAGACGAUGACCCGUGACAGUCUGGUUGUGAUUAAACCUUCUGGUAACUAAAGCUUAACUUGGGUAUCGCAAAGUCACUCUCUCUCUCUCUCUUGGAACGCAAUCACGGUUUUUUGUGUGUGAAUUAUUUCAUGUUACUUGUUUAGAUUACAUCCAAAUCAUAAAAUAACAUCCUGCAUGAAUCAUUAAAAAGAAAAAAGAAAAAAGCAUAAAAACCUAAACCUGCUUCUCUUGGAACAUAUGCUUCAGCGGGGGAAGUUCUUUAGUUAAGAUUCAAGCAUUAGACCCGAGACAGUGAUCACAAAACUCUGUUUAGAUUGUGCAAGCAGCGUUUCAGCACUACAAAGGCAGCUACGUCUUUUCAUGAAGGAGUUUACAAGUACUUCCUGCUUUACAGUGGUGCACUCCAGAGAAGGUGAAGGCUUUAAUGUGCAAUUGCCAUCUAACAAAAACACGAUUAUGUCAGAAGCUGCGUGUACCAUUCUCUCUGUUCAAAAGGGCUUUUGUGAUCAUAUAUUUUAAUGUACUUUAUCAAAGAUUCCCUUUUUUUUCUGCUUCUGAACCCUGCAACAAAUGCUGCACCGUUUGAUAUUCGGCGUACGAAUAUGAUCGGAUUUUUAGGUGCUUUCAGAAGGACAAACGGAUCAUCACACCUCUGAUCACAAGCCCAUCGCCUGACAAGUGAACACAAAACCUCUCGGCUGAUUUAUGUUUUGGCCUGUAAUUAAAACGUACGAAUGUGAAAUCACCCUGUCCUCCUGACGUGACUCACAGCAUUAGGAUUUGUCGCUCUUCUGGUUGUGUAAUUGUGGUCCCCGUGAAGUCAUGUGACCGGCGUGAACCCGUUUUCGACUUGAAAACCUCUUGGCUCGGCAUCUGCCAGAGUGACAGCAGUAAUUCUCGGUGUGGUUUGAAAAGGGAUUCAGGAGAAGAAAAAAAAAGCAAAUCAAUCAUGUUGCAGCCUCAUGACACAGGGUGGAGUCACGCUGCUGAUGCGCUCGUUGCGUUGCUGUGACGCUCCUGUGUGUGUGUGGGGGGGGGGGGGACCAGCUGAAUUAACAGUUUCAGACAGAGUUGGGGUUUCGGCACUCUAUUCCACCCACGCACUGUAAAUAUAGGUUAAUGAAGUAGCCUGUAGGCAGACGACAGGAGAGUGCGUUACUACCUUUGUUUGCUGGUGACAUUGCCGCAUGCAGCAUGAAGGGACCUCGCCGGCUCCGCAACCUUUUAUUUCAGCAAUUAAGGGACCAACACUGACGAGGGGGGACCUGAAAUGCAUGCUGAAAUUUUAUAUGAGAGCCUCCCUCCUAACUGCAUCAGCACCGAACCACAUAGAAAGUCGUAUGAAAAUGAAUAGCUGUGAUCUCCAAAUGAAAGGGAGAUCACACUAUUUGCUUAAAGGACCACAUCUAUGCCCGCUAAUAGGUUUCAUUGGCUCAAUCUGUUUUUUCCGGCCCGUGUUUAAUCUGAGGCCGGAAUAGUUUUUUGAAUGGCUUGGUUUGAUUAAAUCUCUAGAUGUGUUAACUGCCAAAACUUCCCCACUCAAAAUGCUAAAAUACUCCCAGUGAUUUGCUCACCACUUUCACGUGAUUUUCCUUAACAUGUGGGUUUUUGAUUUGACUCCGCUGUGUUUGUAUUUUAGCAGCCAUCGAAUGCCAGGCGUCUCAGACGAGCACAGGCUCUCGAAUUGAACCCUGAUGCAGGAACAAGUUGUGAGCAAAACAAAAGCCUGCUACUGAAUGGCAAGGACAUUUAUCAGUUGAGUAUUGAAUAUCUGAGUGAAUCAAUAACAAAUAAACCAAUUAAGUAAACACA
Molecule: non-coding RNA, 2676 nt
Organism: Poecilia reticulata (guppy)
Lineage: Eukaryota; Metazoa; Chordata; Actinopteri; Cyprinodontiformes; Poeciliidae
Source: RefSeq, a predicted model, not a curated record